GGUUGAGAGGGCUGCGUAGGCGGUCCGUUGGAUUUUUUCCACUCGGCU
Molecule: non-coding RNA, 48 nt
Filed under: uncultured Desulfovibrio sp.
Lineage: Bacteria; Pseudomonadati; Thermodesulfobacteriota; Desulfovibrionia; Desulfovibrionales; Desulfovibrionaceae
Description: DUF3800-VI RNA
Rfam family: DUF3800-VI RNA
About the family: Actinobacteria, Planctomycetes, Proteobacteria, Spirochaetes. Nearby to DUF3800
Source: RNAcentral